Molecule: ribosomal RNA, 119 nt
Organism: Pteropus vampyrus (large flying fox)
Lineage: Eukaryota; Metazoa; Chordata; Mammalia; Chiroptera; Pteropodidae
Source: Ensembl
GUCUACGGCCAUGCCAUCCUGAACAAGCCCAAUCCUGUUUGAUCUCAGAAGCUAAGCAGGCUUGGGUCUGGUUAGUACUUGGAUGAGAGACCACAUAAGAAGACCAGGUGCCGUAGGCA